AAACCGCUAACUGCCGCUAACUUGUCCACUCAGAUAGCCACGCAGCUAGUUUGACCAUUGGCGGAGUUUUGGUUUUUAUACUGCUUUCACAGGAGGUCUUGAGGUUCUCAGGCCAAGGGCUUGCUGGUUAUCAUUGCAAUGUCACUAGAAAUCCCUGCAACACAGUCAUAUAUGUCUUUGAAACAAUGUCCAUUUAGUAACUACAAUUCGAAACAUAAGCCCUUUAAUUUGGCAGUAAAAUAAUCAGCCAUAAAAACUGGCUCAUCUCAGCCCAUUCUCCCCUAAGACAUCGUGUGGAGACAUCCACCAGUUGCAAUGAAUAGCAAGGAAUACGCACUGAACAUCAUUUAGACAAUAGCCGAGCUGGUCUCCUACUGUGUGUGAUGACGUGUUUUUUGUCAUGCUCUGUUUUCUGGCACUGCACCAAUUCUUCACAGAGGCAGCAUGUACCCUCUUCCCAGGAGUCAGAUGAGCUUGGCCUUGCCACAGAAAGACGACAAUAUCUAUCUCGGUUUAGUCUGCUCCCCUCUGAGCUCACAGGUGUGACUGCAGGGAAAUAGCUGAAAUCUUGUCCCCAGGACGCUGACGUGUAUUUCAGCGCCACAGUAUAAAAGGUGGCUCCACACUUCUCAGCUCAUAGGGCAGAUCAGGAAAUCACUGUAGCCCGUAGCUCACCCCAUGUGAGCUUCUGUGGAGGCAGACAGAUUGGAAAUAGUUUCCGGAGCCAAGCAUCAUUCAGAUGUCUUAAACCAAAUGAAAUGUUCCCCAGGAUACCUGCUCAAUCGCCUCAGCCAGCUCCCUUUGCUCGCCUUCCAGGUGAUGCUUCCACUUCUUCACAGCGCAGUCCUUGAUGCCUUGCUGCCGAUGCCCACGCCCACCAGGACGCUCUGUAAAUGGUGUGGGGAUAUCUGGGUCGGCAGAAAGCUCCAAAGCUGGUAUGCAGAGAGUUCCUAGUUUUCCAAAAUCGACAAUCACGCCGACUUCGAGCAGCCACUGGCCAGGUGAGCAUGAGUAAUUGCUGUUGGAGAUCUUGACGACCCCCUGAUGUGCCCGGGUGCACCCAGCUCACGAAGUGUCUGCAGGAUACUCAAGGCUCUCUGGUCCCUUUGGCUCAUCUUCCGAAUGUCAUGGCCUCACUCAGUAUUUCUCAUGCAUAUGCAGAUAAAACUCAGUUUGGAUGUACGACUGAACAAAUGAAUGCACUCUCUCAGAAGGGUUCUAUGUGGCCAUCAAAUGUUUUUUGCAGAAACCUUUACUCCUGGGUUUUUACAGAUCAUUUCUGUUUCAAGUCUUUUUGGAAGCCCUACGCAAAAUGUGGUUGUUGUCGUCCCUGUUUUGCAAACUAUGGUGGGAGGAUUUAAAACCUUUUCGAUUUAAUUUUUAAAAAUACUAUUAUUUGAAGGCACUAUUUGAAGCUUAUAGGCAACAUCAUAUUCUUAUUGGAAGGUAG
Molecule: long non-coding RNA, 1450 nt
Organism: Acanthopagrus latus (yellowfin seabream)
Lineage: Eukaryota; Metazoa; Chordata; Actinopteri; Spariformes; Sparidae
Exons: 3
Source: RefSeq, a predicted model, not a curated record